This is a long non-coding RNA of Dermochelys coriacea (leatherback sea turtle), 321 nucleotides long. RefSeq lists it as uncharacterized. The record is from RefSeq and is a predicted model, not a curated record. NCBI's taxonomy places the organism in Eukaryota, Metazoa, Chordata, Testudines, Dermochelyidae. The transcript is spliced from 3 exons.
AAGUGGUCAAGCUGGUUUGGACAAUAUCCCAUUUCUCUGUGAACAUUCAAUGGACUUAUGAUAUGGACAAAAGCAUGCAAAACCUGCAGGGGCAGCUUGUUGCAACUGCCAGCAACUAGAUACAUAACAUCGUGACCCUGUCGAAGGAGGAGAGGCAGUGUUUUGGGGGUGUCUCGGAUGUUGGACCAUGCUGCAGUGGUCAAGACUCGGUGUUGCUGUGGAUUUUGUAUUGUUAACUGUACUUGUGUUACAUUGCAUAUGGAGAUAACCUAUAAGUAAUGUAAAAAGAAAAGGAGUACUUGUGGCACCUUAGAGACUAAC